GGGAGACCAUUUUGUUUCUGCUGAAGACGCUGUUGGGGCGUUGGAAUUGAGUUCCUCCCCGAGACUCGGCAUGGUGAGGAAAGAUUUCCACGGGUGAAGAAAUCGACGCUGGAUAGCCUGACUUAUGCAAAGUUCCUCACCAGCCAAGUAGCAAAAAAAAAACACAUGAGGCUCAAUGAUCACAAAAUGCUGGAGAAGCUCAGGCAGGACCUAUGGAAAUGACAUUUCGAGCUGAGACACUCCACCAGGAUUGAAAAGGAAGCAUCUGCAGAUUUCCUCGUGUCUGCGUUUUUAAAUAAGAUUACAGCUGAGCUUUCAAAGGUCACUUGUUAAAAUCACAAAGAAGAGGAGUCCCUUAACAGAUCACUACAGAACACCACUGGUCACCAACCUCCAUGCAGAAUACGAACCAUCUACAACCACCUUUUGCCAUCUGUGGGCAAGCCAAUUCUGGAUUCACAAAGCAAGGUCUUCUUGGAUCCCCUGCCUGAUUACUUUCUGAAUGAGCCUUGCAUGGGGAACUUUUAACAAAUGCCUUACUGAAAUCCAUAUACACUACAUCCACUACUCUGCCUUCAUCAAUAUGUUUUGUUACAUCCUUAAAGAAUUCAAUCAGGCUCAUAGUGCAUGACCUGCCCUUGACAAAGCCAUGCUGACUAUUCUUAAUCAGAUUAUGUCUCUCCAAAUCCUCAUAAAUCCUGCCUUUGAGGAUCAUUUCCAACAACUUGCCCACCACUGAAUUAAGUCUUUCUGGUCUAUUAUUUCCUGGGUUAUCUCUACUCCUUUUCUUGAAAAAGGGAACAACAUUUGCAACCCUCCAAUUUUCCGGUACCUCUCCCACCCCUAUUGAUGAUGCAAAGAUCAUCAGCAGGGGCUCAGCAAUCUCUUCCCCCACUCCCACAGUAGCCUGGGAUAUAUCGCAUCUGGUCCCGGCGACUUAUCUAACUUAAAGCUCCAGCACAUUCUCUUUCUGAAUACCUAUAUGCUCAAGCAUUUCAGUCCACAGUAAGUCAUCACCACAGAUGCCAAGGUCCUUUACCCUGGUGAAUACUGAAACAAAGUAUUCAUUAAGUACCUCUGCUACCUCCUUUGAUUCCAUGCACACGUUUCUACUAUCGCAGCUGAUUGGUCCUAUUUUCACAUGGGUCAUCUUCUUGCUCUUCUCAUAUUUGUAGAAUGCCUUUGGGUUCUCCUUAACCCUGCUCACCAAGGUCUUCUCAUGGCCCCUUCUAGCUCUCCUAAUUUCAUUCAUAAACUCCUUCCUGGCAACCUUGUAAUUUUCUAGAACUCUAUCAGUACUUAGUUUCUUGAACCUUUUGUAAGCUUUUCUUUUCUUCUUAACUAGAUUUUCCACAUCCUUUGUACACCAUGGUUCUUUUACCCUAUCAUCUUUUCCCUGUUUCCAUGGAACAUUCUUAUGCAGAAUGUCAUGCAAAUGUUCCCUGAAUAUUUGCCACAUUUCUGCCAUCUGCUCCCAAUUUAUGCUCCCAAGUUUCUGCCUAAUAGCAUUAUUUUCCCCUACCCCAAUUAUAUGUUUUUGCAAAUUGUCUGCUCCUAUCCCUUUCCAGUGCUAUGGUAAAGGAGACAGAACUGUGAUCACUACCUCCAAAAUGCACUCCCACUGAGAGAUCUGACACCUGACCAUGUUCACUCCCCAAUACCAGAUCAAGUACAACUUCUCCCCCAGUUGGCUUAUCUACAUAUUGUGUCAGGAAACUUGCCAGAACACACCUAAGAAACUUUACCCCAUUUAAACCCCUUGCUCUUAGGAGUUGAGAAAGUGGAACUGCCCCAGUGCAACUGCUUUUCCCACUUUAAACCCUCUCCAGUACAGGUUCCUGUCAUUGUCUGAUACAAUGGACAACCACCAGACAGACCUGACUAAGCCUCUAGGCAGUGUUACUUUUUGGAAUUUCUGUUCUUUUGAUGAUAUUAUUUAUAUUAAAUUAGCCAGUCUGCACGCUGAAUUGUCAAUCUAAAGUGGUGGUUCCUAAAUUUAAUUCCAACAUUAGGCUGUGUACAUCAUUCUAAAUAACCCAGUAAAAAUUCUUGCUUUUUUUUUUGCUGAAGUGACCAUCAUUCAAGUAAGCAGCUGAACAAUUCUCCAGAAGCCAGGACUUUCCCUUCAGUAUUGUCCUAGAGGGAUGCGAAAGGGUCAAUUUCUGAGCUUCCAUUAGUAGAAAUUAGCUGAGCAAAAACAUGUCCACAAAACAGAGUAAGGUAACAAGGCACAUUUUUUUUCCAAGUCGCAACUAAUUCCAGAGACUGAAAGGCAAAACUGUAGAAAUUGAAAAUCCGAAGGUAAAAAUAGAAUAUCUUCAGCAGGUGAGGCACCAGCUGUGGAAAUAGAAACAGACCACACUUCAGUUCAGAUACCUUUUGUCAGAACAUUAGACUCUUCAGUUGUGUCUAUGCAACUACAUUUCAACUAAAUAAAGAUAUACACAUGGAGGUGACCUUAACUGGUGUAUUCACAUUACAAUGAAAGAGAGAAAAGAACAGAUUAAUACGCAUACAUAGACAACAAAUCAGUGCAUUUGUGUAGUUAUCAGUUCAUAAUCAGUGCUAAGGGGAGUCAUUGUGCUAAAAGAAAUAAUUCAUACAUUACACUUCUUCCUGCUUUAGACUAAUGUAACAUAAAGCUAUAUGUACUAAAGCAUUCAAUUUCUGUUUAACAGAUUAUGCUAAAAUAAACAUGCUUUCACAAUAACAGUUCCAUAACUAACUUCACUAUAUGAAAGAUUUAGUCUUUUGGCUAGCACUCUGCUUCUUUCAGGAUAGGACUUUGGACCU
This is a long non-coding RNA of Mobula hypostoma (lesser devil ray), 2793 nucleotides long. RefSeq lists it as uncharacterized. The transcript is spliced from 5 exons. NCBI's taxonomy places the organism in Eukaryota, Metazoa, Chordata, Chondrichthyes, Myliobatiformes, Myliobatidae. The record is from RefSeq and is a predicted model, not a curated record.